GCCGAGGUGGUGGAAUUGGUAGACACGCUAUCUUGAGGGGGGUAGUGCCGAAUAGGCGUGUGGGUUCGAGUCCCAUUCUCGGUACCA
This 87-nucleotide transfer RNA is filed under the name Buchnera aphidicola str. JF98 (Acyrthosiphon pisum). Its description in RNAcentral is "tRNA-Leu (GAG) (tRNA-Leu-GAG-1-1)". It matches the Rfam family "tRNA". From Rfam's summary of the family: Transfer RNA (tRNA) molecules are approximately 80 nucleotides in length. Their secondary structure includes four short double-helical elements and three loops (D, anti-codon, and T loops). Lineage: Bacteria; Pseudomonadati; Pseudomonadota; Gammaproteobacteria; Enterobacterales; Erwiniaceae. The record is from RNAcentral.